Molecule: ribosomal RNA, 389 nt
Filed under: uncultured bacterium
Lineage: Bacteria
Description: bacterial SSU rRNA
Rfam family: Bacterial small subunit ribosomal RNA
Source: RNAcentral
UCGGGAAUUUUGGGCAAUGGGCGAAAGCCUGACCCAGCAACGCCGCGUGAAGGAUGAAGUAUUUCGGUAUGUAAACUUCGAAAGAAUAGGAAGAAUAAAUGACGGUACUAUUUAUAAGGUCCGGCUAACUACGUGCCAGCAGCCGCGGUAAUACGUAGGGACCAAGCGUUGUUCGGAUUUACUGGGCGUAAAGGGCGCGUAGGCGGCUUGACAAGUCACUUGUGAAAUCUCUGGGCUUAACCCAGAACGGCCAAGUGAAACUGUCAUGCUAGAGUGCAGAAGGGGCAAUCGGAAUUCUUGGUGUAGCGGUGAAAUGCGUAGAUAUCAAGAGGAACACCUGAGGUGAAGACGGGUUGCUGGGCUGACACUGACGCUGAGGCGCGAAAGCC